GACAUGUUGGCUAAAUUGGUAUAGCAUUGUGCUACGGACACAAAUAUUGUAAGUUCGAGUCUUAUACAUGUCU
RNAcentral lists this transfer RNA (73 nucleotides) under Heterodermia casarettiana. RNAcentral describes it as "tRNA-Arg". It matches the Rfam family "tRNA". Rfam says of the family: Transfer RNA (tRNA) molecules are approximately 80 nucleotides in length. Their secondary structure includes four short double-helical elements and three loops (D, anti-codon, and T loops). The record is from RNAcentral. Lineage: Eukaryota; Fungi; Ascomycota; Lecanoromycetes; Caliciales; Physciaceae.